This is a long non-coding RNA of Nomascus leucogenys (northern white-cheeked gibbon), 242 nucleotides long. RefSeq lists it as uncharacterized. The transcript is spliced from 3 exons. NCBI's taxonomy places the organism in Eukaryota, Metazoa, Chordata, Mammalia, Primates, Hylobatidae. The record is from RefSeq and is a predicted model, not a curated record.
UCUUUCAAGUGGGCAAUCGAAUUAAGUUUGUUAUUAAGAGUAACUCCAGUUAGCCUCCAUUGUCUCCAAGCUGCCUUUCGUCCUCAUCCACAACUCCUCCACACAAGCUCUGAACACCUGUCCAUGAUUCAACGGUUUCAGGUACUCCCACCCUCAACCCUCUGGCAGGUAGAUUCACACAACCAACCCAGGCAGUGGUGCCACAUAAGACUUACAGCAUGGAGAAGCUGGCAAGAACUCAC